CCUACGGGAGGCAGCAGUGAGGAAUAUUGGUCAAUGGCCGGAAGGCUGAACCAGCCAUGCCGCGUGAAGGUCAGUGCCCUAUGGGCGUUAAACUUCUUUUGUGCGGGAGCAAUAAUGGUCACUUGUGGCCAGACGAGAGUACCGUACGAAUAAGCAUCGGCUAACUCCGUUCCAGCAGCCGCGGUAAUACGGGGGAUUCAAGCGUUAUCCGGAUUUAUUGGGUUUAAAGGGUGCGUAGGCUGUGAGGUAAGUCAGCGGGGAAAUGCCCCCGCUCAACGGGGUGAAGUGCCAUUGAUACUGCCUUGCUGGAAUGCGGAUGCCGUGGGAGGAAUGUGUGGUGUAGCGGUGAAAUGCAUAGAUAUCACACAGAACACCGAGUGCGAAGGCAUCUCACGAAUCCGCGAUUGACGCUGAUGCACGAAAGCGUGGGUAUCAAACAGGAUUAGAUACCCGGGUAGUC
Molecule: ribosomal RNA, 460 nt
Filed under: uncultured bacterium
Lineage: Bacteria
Description: partial 16S ribosomal RNA
Rfam family: Bacterial small subunit ribosomal RNA
Source: RNAcentral